Molecule: ribosomal RNA, 467 nt
Filed under: uncultured bacterium
Lineage: Bacteria
Description: partial 16S ribosomal RNA
Rfam family: Bacterial small subunit ribosomal RNA
Source: RNAcentral
GAUGAACGCUGACAGAAUGCUUAACACAUGCAAGUCAACUUGAAUUUGGGUUUUUAACUUAGGUUUGGGUGGCGGACGGGUGAGUAACGCGUAAAGAACUUGCCUCACAGCUAGGGACAACAUUUGGAAACGAAUGCUAAUACCUAAUAUUAUGAUAAUAGGGCAUCCUAUAAUUAUGAAAGCUAUAAGCGCUGUGAGAGAGCUUUGCGUCCCAUUAGCUAGUUGGAGAGGUAACGGAUCACCAAGGCGAUGAUGGGUAGCCGGCCUGAGAGGGUGAUCGGCCACAAGGGGACUGAGACACGGCCCUUACUCCUACGGGAGGCAGCAGUGGGGAAUAUUGGACAAUGGACCGAGAGUCUGAUCCAGCAAUUCUGUGUGCACGAUGAAGUUUUUCGGAAUGUAAAGUGCUUUCAGUUGGGAAGAAACAAAUGACGGUACCAACAGAAGAAGUGACGGCUAAAUACGUG